Molecule: long non-coding RNA, 274 nt
Organism: Gasterosteus aculeatus aculeatus (three-spined stickleback)
Lineage: Eukaryota; Metazoa; Chordata; Actinopteri; Perciformes; Gasterosteidae
Source: Ensembl
CCUGGUUUUGUUUUGUUGUGUUAGAGACGAGCUGAUUACUGUUCUAAUACAUAAUUACAACAAAUAUUACAUUCAUCUGAGGUUUUUAUCCACAGCGACUGAGAACAAAAAGAAUCAAGAGCUACAAGGGAAAAAGGUCACAAGAGCCACGUGCUCAGUAGACGGCCAAGAACCUUCCUCCUCCAUAACCGGGCCGGGCGGUUCUUCUACCCACAGGUGGCCUCCAGACCAACUUGUUGUGUCUCUACAGCCAGAGACUGGGGACAUCUUAUCG